GAUGAACGCUGGCGGCGUGCCUAACACAUGCAAGUCGAGCGAACGGACGAGAAGCUCGCUCUUCUGAGGUUAGCGGCGGACGGGCGAGUAAGACGUGGAUAACCUACUUAUAAUUCUGGGAGAACUUCGGGAAACAGGAGCUAAUACCGGAUAAUACUUUGAACCGCAUGGUUCAAGAGUGAAUGACGGUCUUGCUGUCACUUAUAGAUGGAUCCGCGCUGCAUUAGCUAGUUGGUAAGGUAACGGCUUACCAAGGCAACGAUGCAUAGCCGACCUGAGAGGGUGAUCGGCCCCACUGGAACUGAGAACCGGUCCAGACUCCUACGGGAGGCAGGAGUAGGGAAUCUUCCGACAUGGGCGGAAGCCUUGCGGAGCAAAGCCGCGGGAGUGGUAGAGGUCUUCGGAGCGGAAAACUCUGUUAUUAGGGAAAGACAAAUAGGUAAGUAACUGUGCGCUGCUUGACGGUACCUAAUCAGAUAAGCACGGCUAACUUCGUU
This 497-nucleotide ribosomal RNA is filed under the name uncultured bacterium. RNAcentral describes it as "partial 16S ribosomal RNA". It matches the Rfam family "Bacterial small subunit ribosomal RNA", at positions 28 to 507 of the family's 1533-position model. The record is from RNAcentral.